AGAGUUUGAUCCUGGCUCAGAACGAACGCUGGCGGCGUGGAUUAGACAUGCAAGUCGUGCGACAGACCAGGAAUUGAUUACUUCGGUUUGAUUUUCCUGACGAUGAGCGGCGAACGGGUGCGUAACACGUGAGAAACCUGCCCUUAAGUUCGGGAUAGCCCUACGAAAGUAGGAUUAAUACCGAAUGUGGCCUUAGGAUAGCAUUUUCCUUUGGUUAAAGCUCGGUUAUAGAGCGCUUUUGGAUGGUCUCGCGGUCUAUCAGCUUGUUGGUGAGGUAACGGCUCACCAAGGCUCUGACGGAUAGCUGGUCUGAGAGGAUGAUCAGUCACACUGGAACUGAGAUACGGUCCAGACACCUACGGGUGGCAGCAGUCGAGAAUCAUUCACAAUGGGCGAAAGCCUGAUGGUGCGACGCCGCGUGGGGGAUGAAGGGCUUCGGUUCGUAAACCCCUGUCAUCUGUGAGUAAGGCUCCCAAUAAAAGCUUGGGAGAUUGAUAUUAGCAGAAGAGGAAGGGACGGCUAACUCAGUGCCAGCAGCCGCGGUAAUACUGAGGUCCCAAGCGUUGUUCGGAUUUACUGGGCGUAAAGGGUGCGUAGGCGGCUAUAAAAGUUUGAUGUGAAAUCUCCGGGCUCAACCCGGAAACUGCAUUGAAAACUAAAUGGCUAGAGGAUCGGAGAGGAGAUUGGAAUUCUCAGUGUAGCAGUGAAAUGCGUAGAUAUUGAGAGGAACACCAGUUGCGAAGGCGGAUCUCUGGACGACUCCUGACGCUGAGGCACGAAAGCUGGGGUAGCGAAGAGGAUUAGAUACCCUCGUAGUCCAGCCGUAAACGGUGCGCACUUGCUGUGGCGGAUUCGACCCCGUCCGUGGCGAAGCUAACGCGUUAAGUGCGCCGCCUGGGGGAGUACGGGUCGCAAGAUUAAAACUCAAAGAAUGGACCGGGGGCUGCACAGCCGGGUGGAGGUAUGUGCCUAUUUCGAAUGCACGCGAGAACUACUGCCUGACAUGUAGUGACUGGGAGUGCGAAAAAUUCAAC
RNAcentral lists this ribosomal RNA (1034 nucleotides) under uncultured Verrucomicrobiota bacterium. RNAcentral describes it as "bacterial SSU rRNA". It matches the Rfam family "Bacterial small subunit ribosomal RNA", at positions 8 to 1012 of the family's 1533-position model. The record is from RNAcentral. Lineage: Bacteria; Pseudomonadati; Verrucomicrobiota.